GGGGAAUAUUGCACAAUGGGGGAAACCCUGAUGCAGCAACGCCGCGUGAAGGAUGAAGGUUUUCGGAUUGUAAACUUCUUUAGUCAGGGACGAAUAAAUGACGGUACCUGAAGAAUAAGCCACGGCUAACUACGUGCCAGCAGCCGCGGUAAUACGUAGGUGGCGAGCGUUGUCCGGAAUUACUGGGUGUAAAGGGCGUGUAGGCGGGAAUGUAAGUCAGAUGUGAAAUCCCAGGGCUUAACUCUGGAGCUGCAUCUGAAACUGCAAGGCUAGAGUAUGGGAGAGGUAGGUGGAAUUCUCGGUGUAGGGGUAAAAUCCGUAGAGAUCGAGAGGAAUACUCAUUGCGAAGGCGACCUGCUGGAACAUUACUGACGCUGAGGUGCGAAAGCGUGGGGAGCAAACA
RNAcentral lists this ribosomal RNA (403 nucleotides) under uncultured bacterium. RNAcentral's name for it is "bacterial SSU rRNA". It matches the Rfam family "Bacterial small subunit ribosomal RNA", at positions 356 to 774 of the family's 1533-position model. The record is from RNAcentral.